CGGCAGCACGGGCUUCGGCCUGGUGGCGAGUGGCGAACGGGUGAGUAAUAUAUCGGAACGUACCCAGAAGUGGGGGAUAACGUAGCGAAAGUUACGCUAAUACCGCAUACGAUCUACGGAUGAAAGUGGGGGACCUUCGGGCCUCAUGCUUUUGGAGCGGCCGAUAUCUGAUUAGCUAGUUGGUGAGGUAAAGGCUUACCAAGGCGACGAUCAGUAGCUGGUCUGAGAGGACGACCAGCCACACUGGAACUGAGACACGGUCCAGACUCCUACGGGAGGCAGCAGUGGGGAAUUUUGGACAAUGGGCGCAAGCCUGAUCCAGCAAUGCCGCGUGAGUGAAGAAGGCCUUCGGGUUGUAAAGCUCUUUUGUCAGGGAAGAAACGGUUGAGGCUAAUAUCCCCGGCUAAUGACGGUACCUGAAGAAUAAGCACCGGCUAACUACGUGCCAGCAGCCGCGGUAAUACGUAGGGUGCAAGCGUUAAUCGGAAUUACUGGGCGUAAAGCGUGCGCAGGCGGUUUUGUAAGUCUGUCGUGAAAGCCCCGGGCUCAACCUGGGAAUUGCGAUGGAGACUGCAAGGCUUGAAUCUGGCAGAGGGGGGUAGAAUUCCACGUGUAGCAGUGAAAUGCGUAGAGAUGUGGAGGAACACCGAUGGCGAAGGCAGCCCCCUGGGUCAAGAUUGACGCUCAUGCACGAAAGCGUGGGGAGCAAACAGGAUUAGAUACCCUGGUAGUCCACGCCCUAAACGAUGUCUACUAGUUGUCGGGUUUUAAUUAACUUGGUAACGCAGCUAACGCGUGAAGUAGACCGCCUGGGGAGUACGGUCGCAAGAUUAAAACUCAAAGGAAUUGACGGGGACC
Molecule: ribosomal RNA, 858 nt
Filed under: Massilia sp. UAPS0177
Lineage: Bacteria; Pseudomonadati; Pseudomonadota; Betaproteobacteria; Burkholderiales; Oxalobacteraceae
Description: bacterial SSU rRNA
Rfam family: Bacterial small subunit ribosomal RNA
Source: RNAcentral